AGUGAAGCGGGAUGAGCUCAAAUUUAAAAUCUGGCUGGUUUACUAGUCCGAAUUGUAGUUUAAAGAAGCGUUUUCGGUGGCAGCCUGGGUAUAAAUCCUUUGGAAUAGGGUAUCAUAGAGGGUGAGAAUCCCGUCUUUGACUCAGUGAAUGCUACUAUGUGAUACGUUUUCAAAGAGUCGAGUUGUUUGGGAAUGCAGCUCAAAAUGGGUGGUAAAUUUCAUCUAAAGCUAAAUAUUGGCGAGAGACCGAUAGCGAACAAGUACCGUGAGGGAAAGAUGAAAAGAACUUUGAAAAGAGAGUUAAACAGUACGUGAAAUUGUUGAAAGGGAAACGUUUGACACCAGUCAUGCGGGUGGAAAAUCAGUCUUUUAGAGUAGGGAGUGGUGGGGGUUCGGACCGCAAGGCUGGCCUUUAUCUCAUCUCUGCGCUAAUGGAUGCACUUUUUCAUUUGCAGGUCAACAUCAGUUUCUUCUGCUGGACAAAACUCCGAGAGAAGGUAGCAGCUUUGGCUGUGUUAUAGCUCUGGAGCGAUACAGUGGAGGGGACUGAGGUUUUCGCAGUGUGUGCUCUCGGGCAAGGUUGAUUAGGUGCUAUGUGAUCGUUCGGUGUACAAUGCAUGCAUUUUGCGCUGUGUCUUUUGCAUACUCGCCUGACUCGACUCUUCCACGCUUAGGAUGUUGACUUAAUGGUUUUAAACGACCCGUCUUGAAACACGGACCAAGGAGUCUAACAUAUAUGCAAGUGUUUGGGUGGCAAACCCAUACGCGUAAUGAAAGUGAACGUAGGUGCGAUCCGCAAGGUGCAGCAUCGACCGAUCUUGAUAUUUUUGGAUAGAUUUGAGUAAGAGCAUAUAUGCUGGGACCCGAAAGAUGGUGAACUAUGCCUGAAUAGGGUGAAGCCAGAGGAAACUCUGGUGGAGGCUCGUAGCGAUUCUGACGUGCAAAUCGAUCGUCAAAUUUGGGUAUAGGGGCGAAAGACUA
Molecule: ribosomal RNA, 981 nt
Filed under: Mortierella kuhlmanii
Lineage: Eukaryota; Fungi; Mortierellomycota; Mortierellomycetes; Mortierellales; Mortierellaceae
Description: eukaryotic LSU rRNA
Rfam family: Eukaryotic large subunit ribosomal RNA
Source: RNAcentral